This is a non-coding RNA of Macaca mulatta (Rhesus monkey), 2760 nucleotides long. NCBI's taxonomy places the organism in Eukaryota, Metazoa, Chordata, Mammalia, Primates, Cercopithecidae. The record is from RefSeq and is a predicted model, not a curated record.
ACCUGGGAUAAAUUGAAAUAAAUUGUUCCUACAUGAUUCUUCAUAUUUGUUUGUUUUCAUAACACACUUGAGCGAUUCUUCAUACCAAAGGCACCUGAGCUUCCCCUUUCUCUCACCUUGGGGGAUUAUAGACUGUUCUCCCAUCUUCUCUCACCUGUAAUACUUUAGCUGGACAUACAGAGACACAAUAAAAAAAGAGUUGCAGGAAAGGAAAGUUCAGAGGAAAGGGGAAACUCAAGUGGUUUUAAUAUGAAGACUCACUCAAGCAUAUUAUGAAAAUAAGCAAGCAAGCAAACAAACAAAGCUAGUUAUUGAACCACCCAUUAUUUCAAGAAGAAAAAAAAAACAGCUCCACAGAGAAACAUUUCUGGAACAAUCUGGAGAUUUGCAAGGCUUUGGUGGAAUACAAUGUUUUUAUUUGUGGAGAGAAUAAGAAAUCAAAGACAAGGCUUGAAAGGAGAGGAAAACAACCUUGUAAAAAUGAUGAUUUUUAGAGACCAUAAUGUGACAAAGCUCCGGUCGAUAUGCAAAAUAGGUUCAUGAAUAUUAUCUGAUGGAUUGAAAAGAUGCAUCUGAAUUCCUUCCUAGAUUUUUGUCUGAUAAUGUAGAAGCAAAUUGUUAACUAUCUGUUGAAAGUUGGAGUCUUUUUAAAACCUAGCUUUUACAUUAUUAAUAUGUGCUUCAUUGUGUUUUCCCCACAUACCAGUUAUUUCUGGGGAAAGCAGCAUGUUAGUUGCAAGCCACUUUUCUAACAAAAUAUGUGACUGUUUUCACCCCUUGGGACCCUAGGGACUUAAAAAAAAAGAAAAAAAGCCACUUUUUAAAAUCACACACUAAUGUUUAAUUAUUUAAGUUCAGGGAGCGUCAAUGAGAGGUCUGUAAAAUUAAGUUUCUAUUUUAUUUUCUUUUAAAAAGUAAUAAUGUAAGAGCCAAACUCUGUGCCCUCAUGUGCUGGUUUCUGCAUUAAAUGUGAUUCUGCAGGACCAAUGCAUCACUUUGCAUGGAAGAUAUCAGCCAAUGGCAUUUACUGACAGCAAUGCAUGCCCUCAUCAGCUGCCAUGGUCACCAAACUUUUUAUUCUUUCUUUUCAGCCUCAUUCAACCUCAGAAAUGUUAGUCCUUUUCUUGAAGCGUAAACAGAGAGAACAAAGGAGCACAUGCUCAAAAAGAAGUAGAAGUGGGAGCACCUGUGGACCCAGAGACUGACCAUCAAAGAAAGUAGUUGCCUGACAAUUUUCCAGUUUCUGCAUUCCUGCUCUUCGUACUCCAUUUGAGUCUACGGUGGACUCCUCCCUCCCCAUUUUGGUCUGCUUAGCACUCAUUUAUUUCUUCUGCUACUUAUGAACUCUGGUGAGACUGUUAAUUGUAGUGUCUCUCUGGCCUUUUGGUCCAGACAUGGGCGUGUGACCCAGUGAGGGUUGCUCCUAGAUUUGGUAUGUGGGCACUGGGAGAAAAAGCUCUCUCUUCUUUUUGAAGCAUGAGCUAUACGGGAUGUAGGUUUCCAAAGGAGCUCCUUUCUGCCAUGUGUUGAGAGGUUGCCAAUAGUAAAAGGAUGAGGCCAAAACACAACAGAAGCCUAGACAAGUAAAGCUGAGUGGUUUGAGAAAGAGACAGAGAACCCUUACAACAGUCAGAGAUUCAACACACAUUAGCAAAAACCUCACCCUUCUACCUGAACUAUUUUGAGAGAACCUCUGUUCUUUGCAAAUAAAUUGUCCUUAAUGGAGUACUCUGCAAUCAUUGAAUUCAGUUUUUGUUUUAUUUUGCAGAUAGGAAAGUUAAGGCCCAGGGUGGCUAAGUGACUUCCUCAUGACAUUUCAGCAUUGACUUGUGGCCUCCCAAACACAAACCUAGGACCUGUGAAUACCAAAAUCUGGGGAUACUCAAGUCCCUUAUAUAAAAUGGUAUAAUAUUUGCAUAUAACCCAUGCAUAUAAUCUCUAGAUUACUUAUAAUACCUAAUACCAUGUAAGUGGUAUAUAAAUAGUAGUUAUACUUUAUUGAUUUUUAUUUGUAUUUUUAGCUGUUGUAUUGUUGUUUUUAUUGUUUUUUUAUUCCGAAAUAUUUCCCAUCUGCCAUUGGUUGAAUACAGGAUGCAGAACUGGAGGAUAUGAAGGGCUGACUGUAGUUAGUAAAUUCAUAGAUAAGGAUCAAUCUUAUCAAAAUCAAAUAAAUGUAUGUUAAAAAUGUAAUGUCUUAGCUACUAAAUUCAUUUUCCCUAAAAUUAACAAUAUCUAAUACUAGAAGCAGCAUCUUCAAAAUUGGUUGUUCAUCUGGGAGACUGUGGUUAAAUUUCUUUUUUAGGCUUGAAGGCGUCAUAAUGCCCACAAUAUAUUUAUUUUCUCUCUUCUUUGGGAAAAGAAAAAUUGUGACUUUCCUAUUAUUCUGAAGUAAUUCCCACAAAGACUUCAAUACACCUUCCUCGGAAAGACACAUUUUGCAUCAUUGCAACAAUAAGUAUUCAUACAUUGUAAGGCUUGCAAACUUCCACUGAGAACGCAUUGCUCAAAAUAUUUGCCAGUUUGAGGUUUAAUGACACCUCAAGUGACAUUAUGUGUUUGCUGUCACUCACAUUUCCUAGACGAAUUUUUAAGGGAUGGAAAGAAAUCCUCUAGGUUGUAAUAGAACCCCAGUUUUGAGGGGUUAUUAUUUUGGACCUACAAAAAAAUUUAUAAUCAGAUAGCUUAAAUCAGUGUGGUAAUAUUUGCAUGCUGUACUGUAAUAUUGUUUUGCAUAAAGAAUAAAGGGACAAUGAAAUAACA